UCACGGGUACCGAAGUAUAAACAAGGGGACAUAUGUGCAAACAGGGGUACCGAAGUACAAACAGGGGCACGUAUGUGCAAUCAUGCAAUAAUUAACUAUCGACCUUUAAAUAAGGAACCAUAAUAUGAAAGUAAAAAUAGAAAUUCAUUUACAUAUUGAAACACUAUGAACUUACCUAACAUUCAAUUCUGAACAACUCGCAGAGGCUAGUAUGCUAUUUUCCC
RNAcentral lists this long non-coding RNA (224 nucleotides) under Gossypium barbadense (sea-island cotton). RNAcentral's name for it is "long non-coding RNA (GBAR_LNC017248)". The record is from RNAcentral. Lineage: Eukaryota; Viridiplantae; Streptophyta; Magnoliopsida; Malvales; Malvaceae.